CAGUGAUGAUGGCAAAGAGGCCACACCCGUUCCCAUCCCGAACACGGAAGUUAAGCUCUUUUGCGCCGAUGGUAGUUGGGGGUCUCCCCCUGUGAGAGUAGGACGUCGCUGGGCU
RNAcentral lists this ribosomal RNA (115 nucleotides) under Planococcus massiliensis. The record is from RNAcentral. Lineage: Bacteria; Bacillati; Bacillota; Bacilli; Caryophanales; Caryophanaceae.